RNAcentral lists this transfer RNA (76 nucleotides) under Coriobacteriia bacterium. RNAcentral's name for it is "tRNA-Lys". It matches the Rfam family "tRNA". Rfam says of the family: Transfer RNA (tRNA) molecules are approximately 80 nucleotides in length. Their secondary structure includes four short double-helical elements and three loops (D, anti-codon, and T loops). Further hydrogen bonds mediate the characteristic L-shaped molecular structure. tRNAs have two regions of fundamental functional importance: the anti-codon, which is responsible for specific mRNA codon recognition, and the 3' end, to which the tRNAs corresponding amino acid is attached (by aminoacyl-tRNA synthetases). tRNAs cope with the degeneracy of the genetic code in two manners: having more than one tRNA (with a specific anti-codon) for a particular amino acid; and 'wobble' base-pairing, i.e. permitting non-standard base-pairing at the 3rd anti-codon position. Lineage: Bacteria; Bacillati; Actinomycetota; Coriobacteriia. The record is from RNAcentral.
GCGCUGUUAGCUUAGUUGGUAGAGCAGGGGACUUUUAAUCCCAAGGUCGAGAGUUCGAGUCUCUCACAGCGCACCA